This 642-nucleotide ribosomal RNA is filed under the name uncultured bacterium. Its description in RNAcentral is "bacterial SSU rRNA". It matches the Rfam family "Bacterial small subunit ribosomal RNA", at positions 232 to 885 of the family's 1533-position model. The record is from RNAcentral.
CGCGGCCUAUCAGCUUGUUGGUGAGGUAAUGGCUCACCAAGGCUUCGACGGGUAGCCGGCCUGAGAGGGCGACCGGCCACACUGGGACUGAGAUACGGCCCAGACUCCUACGGGAGGCAGCAGUGGGGAAUAUUGCACAAUGGGCGCAAGCCUGAUGCAGCAACGCCGCGUGCGGGAUGACGGCCUUCGGGUUGUAAACCGCUUUCAGUAGGGACGAAGCUAACGUGACGGUACCUACAGAAGAAGGACCGGCUAACUACGUGCCAGCAGCCGCGGUGAUACGUAGGGUCCGAGCGUUGUCCGGAAUUAUUGGGCGUAAAGGGCUUGUAGGCGGUCCGUCGCGUCAGGAGUGAAAACUCGGGGCUUACCCCGAGCCUGCUUUUGAUACGGGCGGACUAGAGGGAUGCAGGGGAGAACGGAAUUCCUGGUGGAGCGGUGGAAUGCGCAGAUAUCAGGAGGAACACCGGUGGCGAAGGCGGUUCUCUGGGCAUCACCUGACGCUGAGAAGCGAAAGCGUGGGGAGCAAACAGGCUUAGAUACCCUGGUAGUCCACGCCGUAAACGGUGGGCACUAGGUGUGGGGGACAUUCCACGUUCUCCGUGCCGAAGCUAACGCAUUAAGUGCCCCGCCUGGGGAGUACGG